MicroRNA precursor from Trichinella zimbabwensis, 64 nucleotides. It matches the Rfam family "mir-72 microRNA precursor family". The record is from Rfam. NCBI's taxonomy places the organism in Eukaryota, Metazoa, Nematoda, Enoplea, Trichinellida, Trichinellidae.
AGUAGGCAAGAUGUUGGCAUAGCUGAAUGUGAUUCGAAUUCAGCUACGCCACAUCCGGCCAGCU